Molecule: ribosomal RNA, 648 nt
Filed under: Bacillus sp. (in: firmicutes)
Lineage: Bacteria; Bacillati; Bacillota; Bacilli; Caryophanales; Bacillaceae
Description: bacterial SSU rRNA
Rfam family: Bacterial small subunit ribosomal RNA
Source: RNAcentral
AGGGAGCUUGCUCCCGGAUGUUAGCGGCGGACGGGUGAGUAACACGUGGGUAACCUGCCUGUAAGACUGGGAUAACUCCGGGAAACCGGAGCUAAUACCGGAUAGUUCCUUGAACCGCAUGGUUCAAGGAUGAAAGACGGUUUCGGCUGUCACUUACAGAUGGACCCGCGGCGCAUUAGCUAGUUGGUGAGGUAACGGCUCACCAAGGCGACGAUGCGUAGCCGACCUGAGAGGGUGAUCGGCCACACUGGGACUGAGACACGGCCCAGACUCCUACGGGAGGCAGCAGUAGGGAAUCUUCCGCAAUGGACGAAAGUCUGACGGAGCAACGCCGCGUGAGUGAUGAAGGUUUUCGGAUCGUAAAGCUCUGUUGUUAGGGAAGAACAAGUGCAAGAGUAACUGCUUGCACCUUGACGGUACCUAACCAGAAAGCCACGGCUAACUACGUGCCAGCAGCCGCGGUAAUACGUAGGUGGCAAGCGUUGUCCGGAAUUAUUGGGCGUAAAGGGCUCGCAGGCGGUUUCUUAAGUCUGAUGUGAAAGCCCCCGGCUCAACCGGGGAGGGUCAUUGGAAACUGGGAAACUUGAGUGCAGAAGAGGAGAGUGGAAUUCCACGUGUAGCGGUGAAAUGCGUAGAGAUGUGGAGGAA